RNAcentral lists this ribosomal RNA (497 nucleotides) under uncultured bacterium. Its description in RNAcentral is "partial 16S ribosomal RNA". It matches the Rfam family "Bacterial small subunit ribosomal RNA", at positions 28 to 507 of the family's 1533-position model. The record is from RNAcentral.
GAUGAACGCUGGCGGCGUGCCUAAUACAUGCAAGUCGAGCGAACAGACGAGGAGCUUGCUCCUCUGACGUUAGCGGCGGACGGGUGGGUAACACGUGGAUAACCUACCUAUAAGACUGGGAUAACUUCGGGAAACCGGAGCUAAUACCGGAUAAUAUAUUGAACCGCAUGGUUCAAUAGUGAAAGACGGUUUUGCUGUCACUUAUAGAUGGAUCCGCGCCGCAUUCGCUAGUUGGUAAGGUAACGGCUUACCAAGGCAACGAUGCGUAGCCGACCUGUGAGGGUGAGCGGCCACACUGGAACUGAGACACGGUCCAGACUCCUACGGGAGGCAGCAGUAGGGAAUCUUCCGCAAUGGGCGAAAGCCUGACGGAGCAACGCCGCGUGAGUGAUGAAGGUCUUCGGAUCGUAAAACUCUGUUAUUAGGGAAGAACAAAUGUGUAAGUAACUAUGCACGUCUUGACGGUACCUAAUCAGAAAGCCACGGCUAACUACGUG